CUACGGGCGGCUCCAGUGGGGAAUCUUAGACAAUGGGCGCAAGCCUGAUCUAGCCAUGCCGCGUGAGUGACGAAGGCCUUAGGGUCGUAAAGCUCUUUCGCUGGGGAAGAUAAUGACGGUACCCAGUAAAGAAACCCCGGCUAACUCCGUGCCAGCAGCCGCGGGUAAUACGGAGGGGGUUAGCGUUGUUCGGAAUUACUGGGCGUAAAGCGCGCGUAGGCGGAUCAGAAAGUUGGGGGUGAAAUCCCGGGGCUCAACCCCGGAACUGCCUUCAAAACUCCUGGUCUUGAGUUCGAGAGAGGUGAGUGGAAUUCCGAGUGUAGAGGUGAAAUUCGUAGAUAUUCGGAGGAACACCAGUGGCGAAGGCGGCUCACUGGCUCGAUACUGACGCUGAGGUGCGAAAGCGUGGGGAGCAAACAGGAUUAGAUACCCUUGUAGUC
Molecule: ribosomal RNA, 440 nt
Filed under: uncultured bacterium
Lineage: Bacteria
Description: partial 16S ribosomal RNA
Rfam family: Bacterial small subunit ribosomal RNA
Source: RNAcentral